GACGAACGCUGGCGGCGUGCUUAACACAUGCAAGUCGAACGAGAGCGUAGAGAAAGCUUGCUUUUUCUACAAUCUAGUGGCAAACGGGUGAGUAACGCGUAAACAACCUGCCCUACGGAUGGGGACAACAGCUGGAAACGGCUGCUAAUACCGAAUACGUUCCGAAAGUCGCAUGACUAUCGGAAGAAAGGAUGGCCUCUAUUUAUAAGCUAUCGCCGGAGGAGGGGUUUGCGUCUGAUUAGCUAGUUGGAGGGGUAACGGCCCACCAAGGCGACGAUCAGGAGCCGGUCUGGGAGGAUGAACGGCCACAUUGGAACUGAGACACGGUCCAGACUCCUACGGGAGGCAGCAGUGGGGAAUCUUCCGCAAUGGGCGAAAGCCUGACGGAGCAACGCCGCGUGAGUGAAGACGGCCUUCGGGUUGUAAAGCUCUGUUAUACGGGACGAAUAAUCUUGUGGUUAAUACCCAUGAGAAGUGACGGUACCGUAAGAGAAAGCCACGGCUAACUACGUG
This 513-nucleotide ribosomal RNA is filed under the name uncultured bacterium. RNAcentral describes it as "partial 16S ribosomal RNA". It matches the Rfam family "Bacterial small subunit ribosomal RNA", at positions 28 to 507 of the family's 1533-position model. The record is from RNAcentral.